Molecule: ribosomal RNA, 253 nt
Filed under: uncultured bacterium
Lineage: Bacteria
Description: partial 16S ribosomal RNA
Rfam family: Bacterial small subunit ribosomal RNA
Source: RNAcentral
UACGUAGGGUGCGAGCGUUGUCCGGAAUUAUUGGGCGUAAAGAGCUCGUAGGCGGUCUGUCGCGUCGAUCGUGAAACUUGGGGCUUAACCCUGAGCUUGCGGUCGAUACGGGCAUGACUGGAGUUCGGCAGGGGAGACUGGAAUUCCUGGUGUAGCGGUGAAAUGCGCAGAUAUCAGGAGGAACACCGGUGGCGAAGGCGGGACUCUGGGCCGAUACUGACGCUGAGGAGCGAAAGCGUGGGGAGCAAACAGG